RNAcentral lists this ribosomal RNA (440 nucleotides) under uncultured bacterium. Its description in RNAcentral is "partial 16S ribosomal RNA". It matches the Rfam family "Bacterial small subunit ribosomal RNA", at positions 338 to 795 of the family's 1533-position model. The record is from RNAcentral.
CCUACGUGAGGCAGCAGUGGGGGAUAUUGCACAAUGGGGGAAACCCUGAGGCAGCGACGCCGCGUGUGGGAAGACGGUCCUCUGGAUUGUAAACCACUGUCCCCAGGGACGAAGAUGACGGAACCUGGGGAGGAAGCUCCGGCUAACUACGUGCCAGCAGCCGCGGUAAUACGUAGGGAGCGAGCGUUGUCCGGAAUUACUGGGUGUAAAGGGGGCGUAGGCGGGGAUGCAAGUUGGGUGUCAAAACUACCGGCUCAACUGGUAGUCGCACUCAAAACGGCUGCUCUUGAGUGAAGUAGAGGCAGGCGGAAUUCCUAGUGUAGCGGUGAAAUGCGUAGAUAUUAGGAGGAACACCAGUGGCGAAGGCGGCCUGCUGGGCUUUUACUGACGCUGAGGCUCGAAAGUGUGGGGAGCAAACAGGAUUAGAUACCCCUGUAGUC